UAGUGUUUUCUAUUGCUCUCUGUGAACUUAGGCGAUGGCAAAUAAUAGCAUCCUCCAGGUCUUCGUUGUUUUUCUCAUUGCACAAGUAUGCUUACUGAUGAUGAUGGCAGCACCAGUAGCGCAGGCAGCUGGCAGGCUUAUGGGAUACAAUCCCGUUUGCUGCCCUAGGGACAUCUACUGUUGUGGGUUUGGUGGUGUGAUGGCCAAUGGAACUGCAUCCUCCACCAAUCCUUGAUAUGUCGUCUCACUCUCCUCCGAGCUAUAAGCUAGGGCAUAUAAAAUGUGCUUCAAGUUGGUCGUUUCGUUUCUUAUAUGCAAUUUGUGCUACUAGUUUCAAGAAAUAUUAUGUGUAAGCUAUUUUGCUAAUAAAAGUGGGAGGAGAUUGUUAUCUAUGUUGUUUGCAAUGUGCCGCAAAGAGAUUUAAAAUUAUGUUUACUGUGUUUUUUGAGGAUCAUAUCACCCUAUAUUUUCAUGGUUAAACACAUGUUAUGAUAAUAAAGGUACCAUCCUUAGUUGAUUCCAGUUUAUUACUAAUCAUACCAGUUAACCCAUCACAUAGAGUGUCAAUUUUCUGCAGACAUCAAGCAACUUAACCCUCGCCAAAUCUUACUGAAUCAAGCUUCUAAAAACUUCUAAAACCCCCCGCAAAAAAAGCUUCUAAAAACUAGACGAGAACUAAUUUGUUUCCUUUUUCUAGCCCUUUUUUGCUUCAUCUUUUUUUCAGCGUUCUUCCCAAUGCCUAAAACCCCGACCAUGCAUGUGUACCAACCCAAUUUAGGUGAGGCACAGUGGCCAAGGCGUCAUGCCUGCUGAUGUAUUUGAACGCUCCGUCCGGCCGAUUGUUUCCUGGCACUCAGGAGGAGGACCUUCUUGGGCGCGACAGUUCUAUCACUCUAUCAGGAUGUCCUCGUGACAUGUGACACCUUGGGGUGUUGAGAAUGAGCAGAUCGAGCAUGCACAUCAGACGUUCGAGAAAUUGCUCGGCAUCUUGGGCGCUCUUGUCGUCUGCCAAACCGUGGACAGGGGCGUGUCCUCGUGGUGUGCUCAUCGAGGUUCCUGGUCGUGGUCGAGCUCUGGUUUAAUUUCCUCGUGUAUGGUCCCCAGUGUUAGUUCGACCUGGCGUGGUGUGGUACGGUGUACAUGAAGGUCUGGAUGUGCCUCGGUUAAGAUUAACGAUGUCAACGGUGGACCCUUCAAAUCGACACAAUAUUUGUCUGCGGACGAUCCAGACUUGUCAUGGAUCCGCAUAUAGGAACCGGCCAUCCAACUCUUUUCCCAAAACGUCCUCUUCUAUUAUUACUUUUAUAUAUAUAAAAAAUACUAGUAACCUUACACCAAAUAGCUAAAUUUCAACCUUCCACCAAAAGGCAUACCGCACAAAAGCAAAUUGAUGUGUGUUGCCAAUGACCUCCCACCAAACAAUGGGCCAGGAGUACAUGUGAGCAUCUACAUUCCGGUGUCUCAAACCCCCUCAUAUGCCCGGGCGAACAGCCGGUUAGUGACCGGUCAAAAAAACCCGACCUAGACGGACGCCUCAAACGGCCUCAAACGCCUGGGCUGAUCAACACCCCUCAUAUAUCCAACCUAAAUAUGGGGCGGAUAUGGGGAGGCCCGGGCAUGACCGUGCACGUCCGCCACGUAGGACCAGGCCCACACUAGCCAACUCGAGCCCACAUAAAUUCGUCCACAUCCCCUCCUCGAACCAAACCCUAUCCACUCCACCCCGUCACCCAAGCUCCCCUCCGGCGUUCUCCAGCCUUUUCCGGCAAGGCGGGUUGUGGAUCCGAGUCCUACACCUCCAAAUCGGUCGUCCUUGAGCUAAUCCCACAUGGCUCCGAGGAGGAGAUGACCAUCCGGCUUGCGCUCCGAAGCACAGUAAUAAUAUCGAGUAGCAUUCAGAGCUCGCUGGUAAUCCGCAUCUACCACCAACCAUCAACAAUGUAGCUUCAGAAGCCACUCCCGAAGGCCGUCCAACGGCAGCGCUCCAACUCCUUCCAUCGGGAAUCCACCGUGCCAUCCCAAACGGCGGCAUGGAUCUGCCGCUAGGUGUGUCAUCGCUACCUGACUAGAGGCGGUGCAGUCCAUCUGGCAUCCGAACGCGGUGACGGACGCGCAAUCGCUCCGCUGGAGCGCCAAGGUGGAGGACGCACCAUGGGCGUCAUCCCAUGCAAACAUGGCGCGUUGUGCACGCCAUGCGAGGCAGUGAGCACGGCAGGCGGCGGCAGCCCUCGCCGGCAGUGGACGUUGGCGAGGUGGAGUUGCAUUCUCUGGCGCGUUGGAUGUUGCACCAGUCCGGGCGCCACAACCGUGUCGUGGUGGAUGCCGCCGGCUCGUCCAGGACGGACCCAUUAUCGAUCUGACAUCCACCGCCACCGUCUGGGUUCCAAGCUCCGAUGAGGAAGAGCAGGACAUGGGAGAUGACGACGCCUUACGUCCCGUGAUCCAUCCCAUAAUUAUUUUUACAACUUCUAUCAGAGGUUUUGUAAAGAUUCUAGAAGCAUGUGAUCGUCUUUGUCAAGUUUAUGGUCAUUUUUUUCAUUUGGGCUUCGAUGUGUUUCUACUAUAGUUUUCUUUGCUUUUCUUAUUUUGUAUUUUUCUUUCAUUUUUUCCUUGUGUCAUUUAAAGUAAAUUCAAACAUCGCGCACUUUUCAAAAAAUUGCAUGCAUGUUUUUCAAAUUCAACAGUUUUUUUAAUUCUAUGAACAUUCUUCUCAAAUAUGUCAUCUAUUUUCCAACCUGUGAACUUUUUCAAUUUCAUGAAUUUGUUCAAAUCUGUGAAUAUAUUAUUCAGAAUCAUCACCAUUUUUCAGAACCACGAACAUUUUUAGAAAUCUGUAGAAAAACUCAAAUGUACAACCAUUUAUUUCUAGUUUGUGAUCCUUUUUUCCAAAUUUAUGAACUUUAAAGAAAAUCAUGGACAUUUUUGGAACGUGUGGUUAUUCUUUUAAUGUGCAAAUUUGUUUAGCUAUAAAAAUGAAAAUCAUUUUUCUCUUUCUAAAUCAACUAGGUAUGUGCCCGUGCGUUGUCACGGGAGCCAAAUCUUAUAAUGCACAAUAAGAGCAUAAUAUACGGUGACAAAUCCUGUUGUUUUUGAAGAUGGUUUUUAUAAUAAAAAUCGACGAGGAGGCUCGUUGUUUACGGAAAAAUACUGCCAAAUUCUUCAAUUGGUAGUAAUUUGGAAUGCUACAUCAAUAGAACUAAAUUUUAUUAGUUGGGGAAAUAAAUAAUGACCUAGUACACAUUAUCAGUCUAAUGAGAUGCAUACAGAUUAUGCAAAAUUGGAUUCUAAAAAAAUAGCACACUCCAACGUCAAUAGAUAGGAACUGCUAAAAUUCGGGUCACAUUGUACAUUCACUGUACCAUGUGACUUGCUAUACCUUUGUGUUUACCUACUGAUCUGAUGUACAAUCCUCGAUGCAAAUGAAUCAUAAAGAUUAACUUCCUUCUUAAAUUAAACAUGACCCAGUUUCGUCCUCUCUGCUGAUUGUGCAGAUGGUAAGUUCCGUCAUGCCAUAGCGUUUGAUAUGGUGAUUGUUCUUUCUGGUGAACUUAGUGGAUGAUAAUGCUUUGACAGUAGAUAGGAUGCAAGAGGAUCAGCAUGUAUAACUGAUUAGAAUUUUUGUAGAGAGAAAACAUAUUAGAAUUGGCUAAGUUGGUGCAACUAAAUAGCAAUUCACAUCCCAAUGCCCACGGGGCAAUGACUGCCACGUAGCAGUACUGCCUUGAAGAGUGACAUCGGUUGGUACAUCGGCUUCUUAGCGAAGCUAGGACCUGUCCAUCCUUCGUGUUCUUGAUCUUGGCGCAGAGUACGUUGGGGAUGUGGCUGAACAGAUAGACCGCACAGAUGCUGCGGAGAACAAGCAACGACCUCACCAAGGUUAGCCAGCAGCACGUUGACGAUGACCCAGUUUGGAAGCAAAGAUUGAGCGAAUCCAUUUACGUCAUGACAUGCAUACACGGGGAGAGAAGAUCAAUCAAGCGAGCUACAUGAAGGAGCGGUGAAAAAUCCGAUCAAAUGAAGGAAACAACACUUGCAAAGAUUCGCCAUGCCGUCCAGGUGUGCGGUCGAGGCGUGUGGAGGCGACAACGGCUACUCCCUCCGUCCAAAAAUACUUGUCAUUUAAAUUGAUGUAUCUAGACGUAUUUUAGUUCUAGAUACAUCCAUUUUUCAUCCAUUUUGAUGACAAGUAUUUCCGGACGGAGGGAGUACAUCGGUGGCAGCAUCCAGGUCGUGCUAUUCCGGCGCGUAAGGCUUCAUUUCCGUAGCAUCGGAUGUAGCAGAUAAAUGGCGACGGUUUGCGACGUGGUUUUCGGGCAGGUGAUUUCUGAUGCGAUUUUAAGGGAAGGUGUGACGCCCAUUGACACAUGUAAUUAUGGUGAUUGCGAUUCUUUAAGGGAAGAUAUGACUCCCAUUGGCGCAUAUAAUUAUGGUGAUUGUGAUUUUUAAGGGAAGGUGUGACGCCCGUGCUUCAUUGGGUCAUGUAAUUAUGAUGAUUGAAUCGAAUCGUCACUUGCCAAUCGAGAAAAAAGGUAGAGUGGAUGGACGAAGGUGGGCAGAACGCGGUAUGUCUGGCAGGAAAACGAACCUUAGGUUCUUUUUAGAUAGUAGAGAGUGCCAUCGGUAGGUACAUCGGCUGCUUAGCAAAGCUAGGACCUGUCCAUCCUUCAUGUUCCUAUCUUGGCGCAGAGUACGUUGAUGAUGUGGCCGAACAGAUGGACUGCACGGAUGCUGUGAAGAACGAGCAACGACCUCACCAAGGCUAGCCAGCAGCAUGUUGACACAUGACCUAGUCUAGAAGGAAAGAUCGAGCAGAUGCAUUUACGUCAUGGCAUGCAUAAACAGGGAGGGAAGAUCAAUCAAGUGAGCUACAUGAAGCAACAAUGAAAAAUCCGAUCAAAUAAAGGAAACAACACUUCUAGAGAUUCGCCAUGCCGUCCAAGUGUGCAGUCGAGGCGUGAGGCGGCGACAACGGCUACAUCGGUGGCAGCAUCCAGGCCGUGUCGUUCUGGCGCGUAAGGCUUCGUUUCUGCAGCAUCGGAGGUGGCGGAUCAAUUGCGACGUGAUUUUCGGACAUGUGAUUUCUGAUGAGAUUUUAAGGGAAGGUUUGGGGCCCAUUGACGCAUGUAAUUAUGGAGAUUGCGAUUCUUUAAGGGAAGGUGUGACUCCCAUUGGCGCAUGUAAUUAUAGUGAUUGCGAUUUUUAAGGGAAGGUAUGACGCCCGUGCUCCAUUGGGUCAUGUAAUUAUGAUGAUUGAAUCAAAUCGUCAUUUGCCAAUCAGGAAAAAAAGGUGGAGUGGAUGGACGAAGAUGGACAGUCAGAACGCGGUCCGUCUGGCAGGAAAUGGAACGUUACGUUCUUUUUAGAUAGCAGAGAUGGAAGCAGUGGCGGAGCUUCAUUGGGGCUAAUGGGGGACCCUCAAGUCUGAUUAGCCCCCUAAACAAUCUUUAUCAAGCUCUGGCAGUGGGUGGAGGCCCCAAGAGGCCAAACAAACGAGGCAACCACCUAGCAAUUACCGGAGUGAGGCGGGAGACCGUCCGACCGCGGCGACAGAGUCGAAUGCUACUGGGUUGUGACCAACCUAGCGCGGCAUGAGUGAAAGCCAUCGUGACCGCCUGAAGGAGAGCUCCUGUUCGGCGCCUUAUGCGCCCAAACAGCUCCCUAGCGCCUGAAGGAGAUGUCUACUGGGCCGGCCCAGAAACCUUCGCUUGAUAAAAGUUCAUUGAUUUUUUAAGUUCAUCAAAAUUGAAAAAAGCUCAUCGAACCUGAAAAAAAGGUUCAUCGAAUUUUAGCAAAGUUCAUCAUAAUUGAAAAAAGUUCAUCAAAAUAUAAUAAAAGUUCAUCGAAUUUGAGAAAUGUGCAUCAUAAUUCGAAAAAGUUCACCGAAUCUGGAAAAUAGUUCAUCGAUUUGUUGAAAAAAGUUCAUCGAUUUCUAAAAAAAGCUAAUCGAAUUAAAAAAAAUCAUCGAAUUUAGAAAAAGUUCAUUGACUUAAAAUGAGUUCAUCGAAUUUGGAAAAACUUCAUUGCGUUUGCAAAAAAGUUCACCGAAUUAGAAAAAAGUUCAUCCAAUUUGAAGAAAAGUUCACUACAUUUGAAAAAAGUUCAUCGAACUUGAUAAAUAGUUCAUCAAAUUUUGGAAAAAAGUUCAUCGAAGUUAAAAAAAAGUUCAUUAAAUCCGGUGAACAUUACGAAUUAGAAAAAAGGAAAAAAUAAAAAUAAAAAAUAAAAAGAAAAUAAGCAAGAAAAAGAAAAGAAAGAACAAAAAAGUUAAGAAAAUGUACUUGAUCAUAAAUCGUUGAGUGGCAGGGUGGUUAUCACGUGGCACGCUGAACCGCUACGGCGCGGGUUCGAGUCCUCCCAGUAUGUGUUUUUUGCAUCAGUUUAGAAAGAAAGAAGGGAAUUUGGGCCGGCCGGCGUCGCGAGCGGGGGUAUGCGCCCUGUACGAUUAACAUUGUAUUCGGCGCUGAGGCCGCCAAAUAGUAUUUGGGCGCCUGAAGCGCUGAACAGGCGCUCCCCAUUUCAAACAAGAACGAUAAGGGCUCCUCGUCAACGCCUUCAUGGGCCGGCCGAAAACAGCGCGUAGUUUGGUAGUCAAAAGUCGCGGUUGACCAGUCUGCCCAUUGAUUUUUAAAAUACGCAAAAAAAAUCCAAAAAUUCCAUGAAUUGAAAUUUUUCAUGGUUUAAGAUACUCAAAUUCAAAAAUAGUUAGAAAAACAAGGUUUUGAAAAGAAGUUCAAUGAUUUGAGAACAAGAUCAUUGAUAUUUUAAAAAGUUCACGAAUUUUGCAAAUUUGGAAAAAGUUCAUCAAUUUUUCUAAAGUGAUGGAUCUAAAAAAAGUCUAUUGGUUUUGGAAAAGAAGUUCACGAAUUAUGAGAAAAUCAUAUGCAUGGAUUUGAAAAUAUAAGAUUGAUUUCAUUAAAAAGUGCAUGCUGUUUGAGAAAAAAGUUUGUAGAUUUCGAAAAAAUUCAUCGAUUUUGAAAAAGUCCACAAACUUAAAAAAGUCUCAUCAAACAUAAAUUUUUUAAAAAGUUCAUCAACUUUGAAAAAAAUUAGGAAUUUGGAAAAUACUUUAUGGAUUUAUGUUCGUCAAUAAUGAAGAAAAUUUCACGAAUUAAAACUUUCUUCGAUUUUAAACAUAAGUUCACGAAUUUGGAAAAUGUUUGCGCAUUUAUGAAUACAAAAUAUACAAAUAAAAAAUAAAAAUAAAUUAAAAGGAACAAGAAAAAUGAAAAAAAGAAGGACCGAAUAAGGGUGGUUCGAAAACUGACCACUGAACCUAAAAAACGGUUUGCGAAGCUUAUGGAAGCUUGGCAAACUGAGGGCUUGUGCGAACUCAAGAAUGAAGAAAAGAAAAGGAAAGUAAAUAGGCAUAAGUGUUACUAUAUCCUAGCCUCCUAGGUCUCAAAAUCAAAUCCCGUCGCCUGCACCCUUAUUUUGAAGUUGAACAGAAAAUAGAAAGGUAAAUGGGUAGGCCCAGCGAGGAGGGGGGGGGGGUGCGCCGGUUGGCGAAAUAACCUUUAACUGAAGCUGCAAUCACCAAAUAGGGUUUGCAAUGAAUGAUAUGUAUUGCUAAUUUUGCGGUAUGUAUCAUCGACAAUGCUCCGUAGUGAGACACAUGGUUUUGCACCAGUUUUGGAGGCAUCUAUCCGGUUUUUGGAAUCCUCCAGCAUUUUUUCCUAUUUCCUUGUUGCUUUUAUGGUUUAUUUUUUAAUUUAGUUUUUCUAUUAUUCUCGUUUUUUACUUUCACUUUUUCUGUUCUUUCUCACUUUUCUGAAUUUUUAAAUAUCCAUUCAAAUUCGCGAACAUUUUUCAAAUUGGCCAAAAUUUUUGAGUUUACGAUAAUUUGCCGAAUUCCUGAAUAAUUGUUAACAUUUCGAAAUUUUUAUUGUAUUAGCGAAGAUUGUCAAAUUCAUAAACCAUUUUAAUCCAUUUUAUAAAAUUUAUUGAUAUUACUGAAAAUAAUGAGAAUUUUUUAUUUUAUGAACUUUGUUGAAAUUUGUGAUCAUUUUUCCAAUUUGGGAACAUAUUUUAAAUUGAUAAACAAUUUUUCAAUCUUUCAACAUUUUCUGAGUUUGUGAUUCUAUUUUGAAUGAUGAACAAAUUUUCAAUCUGUGAAUAUUUUCUGAAUUUGUGAAUCUAUUUUCAAUGACAAACAAUUUUUCAAUCUGUGAACGUUUCAUGAAUUUGUAAAAAAAAUGCAAUUACAGACAUUAUUGCAAAUUCAAAGAGACAUUUCAAAAUUGUGAAGUUUCUUCAAACUGAAGAAGAUUUUUUUCAAUGUCAUGAAUAGUUUUUUAGUUCACUAACUUCUUUUUAUUGACAAAAAAGUUCUAACUGGGACAUUUUUUGAAUGUGUGAAUUGUUUUAAUUUAUGAACAUAUUUCCAGUCAAUGAGAUAAUUUAUUUCUUUAAAACCCUUUUGAAUUCUUUCUUUUUCAAUUUUGUGAACAUUUAUGGAAACUCAUUAAUAUUUUUGAGUCCGUGAGAAUUUUUUGUAGCCACGAAUAUUUUCAAAUUCGUAGACACUUUCUAACUUCAUUGACAUUUUUUUAAUUCACAAACAUCAUUUAAAAAGUCAAUGAUUUUUGAACUCAAGUAAAUGUUUUAAAGUCGUGAACAUAUUUCAAAUUGGGAUUUUUUUUGGAAUUUGGAAGAUUUUUUAAUUCACAAAAAAAUGAUUUAAGAACAUAUUUUUUGGAAUCACAAAAAAAUAUUGUCCUGAACAUUUUUGUAUUCCAAAAUUUUUUGUCACCCUAUAAAUUUCUUUAAAAUACGUGAACAUUUUCUUGAAAUUAGAACAAAAUCUCAUUUUUAUCAUUUUGAAUUCACUGAUAAUUUUCGAAUUAGCUAUUUUUAUUCUCAUUUUUUAUAAAAUCUCAAAUUUUUGAAAUUGAUUAAAGCAUUAAAUUUAUGAACAUGUUUUUAAAUAAAAUAAAAAUGAAGUGAAUAAAAUUAAAAAUUAAGAAUUAGUGAAUUAAAAUUAUAUUUUGGGAAAAAAAGAAAAGAGCAACAAAUUGCAUUUAGGCUCUAGUAGCUAGCUUCCUACCUAGUUGUGCACUGAUGGGCUGCUGCAUCGAGUACUGUUGAUCUAUAAGAUCAGUCUAGAGCCUUCUAUACUACAUAGCCAUGUGAUGCCUAUUUCAAACACAUGAGCUCGUGGGCCUUCCCAAGACCUGGGCCCUAGGCGGUGGUCCCUUCCCGCCUAGACCUAGAACCGGCUCUAUGCCGAUGAUGGCGUGCCGGUAUCGACAUGGUCCCCUCGUGCAUGGCUACGCUUUAGUUCUCGGCCAAGUGUGGUCCGGGUGUUGUGCCCGACCAUUUGGAUGGCAAAGUGUGCAUCGACAAUGACUCAUCGAUGUAUUGUCUGUGCUGGGUUGAGUAGGCAGGGUCAACACAACACAUGGUGGCGAGCGAGGUCAGAAGUGGCUACGUACGGGUCACAAUGAUCGCGUUAUUAUAGGAAAGCUCCUAAUAGUUGGGGUGAAGACCUUAGGUAUGAAUCGAGAUGGUUUUACCUAGCAAUGAUGGUUUUACCUUAUUGAAGACAUUGCUCGAAUAUGCACAGACUUGUUCUUUAGCGUGAAAACUUAGAACCUAGCAUUUGGUAAUUGGACCUGGUGAUAGCAACCGUUUAAGCGUCGUUUUCUUUCUGAAGGUGUUGUUUCUGAAGAGCAUUUCUCAUUGUCCUUGUGGUGUCAAGAACUCAAGAUAUGGUUGGUUUGGAUUUGGUCGUUGUUUGUCGAUAGAUGUUUUGGCUGCUUCGUUUUUCUUUCUUUUCCUGCUUAGGUUUAGCGUUGUUGAUCUUAUAUGACUUUGCUAUUUGUUGGUGUCUUUAUUUAUGUAUGUGCAUUGAUAUUGACUUGUGCAUCCUAUAACUAUACAGAGGUCUAGUAUGUGUGCUCCUUAUGCUUGUAUCCCUUAUACUUCAUUUUGAGUCAUAGAAAUCCACUCUUUAUCGAACAAUGGUAAUCUCCCAAUGUGCAUAGAUAUGUCUAGCUUACGAUUUAUCCUCUGAGCGCAGAAUGUCAAGGAGGGUUGCUUAGUGGCAUCCACUCACCUCGAACUGAAUAGGAGAAGGGGGUGGCGGAGAUGAGAUGAGAGAAAUACUCCAUCCGUCCCAUAAUACAGGAGAGGAUCGCUAGUGUAAAAAAUGUUGUUAUAUUAUGGGACAUAGGGACUAGUAUUUGUUCCUUUUCCUGAUCAAUUGAUUGCCACUUCAAGUCAAAUGGUAUGGGAGAAAUGAGUGGAGACCCCUCACGCGAAAGAAUCGAAUUGCAGAUUUGGGGGGACUGGAGAAGAAACAAUCGAGGGUUUGCUUUCCGUACGAGAAACCUCGACUAUACGGUAGAUGCGAGUGCACCGGGUUGCUAGCCUAGAAAUUCUUUUUCCUGAGUAAAUUCAGAUUGUUUUUCGCUGAGUGAAUUCAGAAUGCCAGCCGGCAUUGUGUGGAACUGUUAAAAAUCACUAAUUAAGACAUACUCCUUGCAAAGCUCACUCCCACAUUUUCAGUUUGUGAUGUACGCCACUUGUCGUGCGUCCAAAUUUCGAAUCAUUUUCACUAUUAGAUUUCUUGCCUCGAGAUCUUCAAAACUAGAUCGCAUGUUGAUAAGUUUUGACGAACUUUUUUUCACGAAAAAAACCGGAUGAAAAAACCGAACCGGGAGCAUGGCUUUUUCCCCUUUCCCAAAGAGACAAGGCAGUGCCUUUCACGAAAUCACAACCGUGCCUCUCCGUAAGAAAAAAAAACAGAAAACACAUUCUCCUUUCCGUUUCCGAAAAGCACGGCCGUGCCUCUCGCGAAAGCACAAUCGUGCCUCUCGCGGAAGCAAAACCGUGUAUCUCGCGAAAGGAAAAAAAAUAGUAAACAUGUUUUUUUUCAUUUUCGAGAGGCACGGUCGUGCUUCUCGCGAAAGCAAAACUGUGUCCUCGCGGAAGCAAAACCAUGCCUCUGGCGGAAGAAAAAAAAACAGAAAACACGUAUUUUUUCAUUUCCGAGAGGCAUGGUUGUGCCUCUCACAAAAGCAAAAACCGUGCCUCUCGCAGAAGUAAAACCGUGACUCUCACGUAAGCAAAAAAACCGCAUAUUUUCGCACAAAUUUUUUUCGGCGUCCAAAAACUAAGGAAGACUUGUGAAAAACUAGUUUAAAAAGCCGAAAACACGUGCAAAAAAAAAAUAAAGAAUCUGAAAAGAGUGCCCAAAGCGCGACACGUGACGGUGGCUNNNNNNNNNNNNNNNNNNNNNNNNNNNNNNNNNNNNNNNNNNNNNNNNNNNNNNNNNNNNNNNNNNNNNNNNNNNNNNNNNNNNNNNNNNNNNNNNNNNNNNNNNNNNNNNNNNNNNNNNNNNNNNNNNNNNNNNNNNNNNNNNNNNNNNNNNNNNNNNNNNNNNNNNNNNNNNNNNNNNNNNNNNNNNNNNNNNNNNNNNNNNNNNNNNNNNNNNNNNNNNNNNNNNNNNNNNNNNNNNNNNNNNNNNNNNNNNNNNNNNNNNNNNNNNNNNNNNNNNNNNNNNNNNNNNNNNNNNNNNNNNNNNNNNNNNNNNNNNNNNNNNNNNNNNNNNNNNNNNNNNNNNNNNNNNNNNNNNNNNNNNNNNNNNNNNNNNNNNNNNNCAAUGGUUAAUCCCUAAAUAGGAGAGGAUUUCCUGCCAAGAAAAGGAGAGGAUUUGCCUUGUUGAUUCUUCCCAUUAAUUAUCAUAUUUGUAGACUUGUUUUUAUGUCACUAGAUGCAGUGAACGCGUCUAGGUUCAUCCUCCUGAUACAAUUUCAUAUAUUUUUAAGAGGCAUUUAUUAUUUAAAUAAUAUAUUAUCUUUCCUAUUCUUUUUUACCACAAGUGCUAUCCUCAAUACUCAGCUAUUUUGUUUUAAUGGAAUUUAUUAGGAUAAGCACGGGCUUCAUGCCAUGUAUCCAUAUAAAUUGACUAUUUGCUAGGAUCAAACACAAACAGACAAGUGAAAAGAGUAUUGCAUAGUGUUUUCUACUGCUCUAUGUGAACUUAGGCGAUGGCAAAUAAUAGCAUCCUCCAAGUCUUCAUUGUUUUUCUCAUUGCGCAAGUUUGCUUACUCAUGAUGAUUGAAGCACCGGUAGCGCGGGCAGCUGGCAGGCUUAAGCGACUCAAUCCAGUUUGCUGCCCUAAGGAAAUCUUUUGUUGUGCGUUCGGUGGCAUGAUGUCCAAUGGAACUGCGUCCUCCACCAAUCCUUGAUAUUUUUUUUCAUUCUCCUCCGAGCUAUAAGCUAGGGCCUAUAAAAUAUGCUUCAACGUGGUCGUGUUGUUUCUUAUAUAUAAUUUUUGUUAUUAGUUUCAAGAAAUAUUAUGUGUAAGCUAUUUUGCUAAUAAAAGUGGAGGAGAUUGUUAUCUAUGCUAUUUGCAAUGUGCCGCAAAGAGAUUUGAAAUUAUGUUUAAUUUAGUGUUUUUAGAGGAUCAUAUCAUCCUAUAUUUUCAUGGUUAAACACAUGUUACGAUAAUAAAGGUACCAUCCGUAGUUGAUUUCAGUUUACUACUUAUCAUAGCAGUUGACCCAUCACAUGAACUCACAGUUUCACUUUUUCUUAAGGUGCCUUUGUUCUGUUGGUAAUUUUCAAAUUUUACAUUUUCAUUGGUGUUUCUUUUUUCUAGCCCAUUUUUGCUUCAUCUCUUUUUUAGCAUUCCUCCCAACGCCUUGACACCCCAACCAUGCAUGUGUACUGACCCAAUUUAGGUGAGGCACGGUGGCCAAGGCAUCAUGCCUGCUCAUGUAUUUGAACACUCAGUUGUUUCGUGGUACAGAGGAGGACCUUCUUGCUCAUGUGCCACCAUUUGAAGGAUCUCGGUGCGGCAGUUCCACCAGGAUGUCCUCCUGAGAACAUAGUCGGACUCCUCAAAUUGAUCGGGUAGGUGCGGGGACAACUGAGCAGAUAUGAGAGAGAAACAAAAAGUAGCAAAAGGUUGACCCAACCGGAUCCCUCAUAUCAUCCAUAUACGCCCGGGCUGUCCAUGAACUCUCAUAUCCAUCUCAAAUAUGGGGAGGAUAUGAGGCCUCGCGGACGCGCCCGGGCGUGCUCGGUCAGUCCGCCACAUAGGACGAGUCCCCACCCCGGACCACAUUUUCUCUUUCUUUAUUCAUUCUUUUCUUUCUCUUUCUUCAUCUUCACCAAUCACAUGCACGUGACCGAACAUAUGGGGAAGAAUAGCAUACCCCAUAAAAGCCACAUAAACCCAAUUUAGUUUGAUUUAUGCCAAAUUAGUGUUUGUUUCCUAUGACCUCCCGCCAAGCAAUGGGCUAGGAGUACAUGAUUUCUGUCAAAUAUGUCAUGUUGGUUGGUUGUUUCCCUUCCUUCAAAUAGCACCAGCCUUCUGCCAUCCUACACGGAUGAGGGUACAUGAGGACUUCUGAUUGGCCAGGCGGAUGUCCGGACAGCCGCAAAGUUCCCGCAACUUCUUGUCCUAUUUGUGGGAUUCUAGACAGUCACACGAGUCCACGGACAUACGCAAGAUGGGUUGGACGGCAAACUGCGUCCAGACAGUUCGGUCCUGGUGUUUGCGAGGCAUUUGAGGGUCGUCUUUGGAGUUGCCCACAAGGGCCUCUUCGAUUCGUAGGAAUUUCCAAAUGCAAGAACAAGAAAAAUACAUGAUUGAAGUGGACAAUCCUAUAAGAUACAAAAGGGAGCGUUUGAUGCCAAAGAAAAAAAAUUAGUAAAAGAGGUUGGAGUGUAUGAACUGUAGUACAUAUAAUUUCUUAAGAAAAAUCCCUAUAGGAUAUAAUCCUACAAAUCAAACAACCAACCUAGAAAUACUUCAUAAGGAAUCUACUCCUCCAAAUCCUAUGAAAUUUGUUCUUUUUGUGUGUGGGGAAAACCUCUAAUCAAUUCGUGAAACAUCAUGGCAGUACAAAGAACACCCAAAGUAAAAGAAAUCACAUCCAUGUCCGUAGAGCACCUAGCCAUGACUACAAGCACUGGAGCGAGCCGAAGGCGCGUCGCUGUCAUCGCUCCUCCCUCGUCGAAGCCAGGUAAACCAUGUUGAAGUAGAGAGUCAGGAAAUUGACGAGCUAAGGCCUCAAUGGUCCAGCGCCAGAAAGGAAAACUGCCGCCGAUGAAUAGAAGCGUAGAUCAAAAGCGUUCAACCUGUAGACACAAGAAUGCAAAUGAAUAAAAACCUGAUCCAAGCUGAUUCACCAAAGACAAACAUCGACUGAAUCAUGCAACAUCCACCACUGAUAGACUUCCACACACCCUCUGACAAUGUUACAUGCACAACCGAGACAUGGGUUAGGGGGAGAACCUUAUAACAUAUUCAGGGAGCCGCCACCGUCGCCUUGUCUUCCUGAACCCUAAAUCUUAAUCUCCAAGUGCACACAUGGGGGGCUGCUGAGUGGCCUCGGCUCUCCUCGAAUCCAUUCAUAGAAAGGGGGAAGGAUAUGGGAUGGUUUGAGUACAAAAAAUCAUCACAAUUGGGGCUAGAUCUCAUAUACCACUAGACUUACUAACAAUCACAAUAAAACAAUCAAAAUUGAGACAAGGUUGUAAUAUAUAGCACUACUCUGUAGCUAAACGUGUUCUAACAUCGAAUCUGACCAAUGGGACGACCCACUUAUCAUGAUGACAUGGCAUGUACACGUGGAUAGUUUAUUUGGUUGGAGGUCUCACUAGUCAUCUUGCCGUCUUAUUUCCCUCUCUCCCCCUUCUUUGUCCAUGAGAAGCCAAACACCGACGAAAGGGCAGGCGAACAUUGGGAGGUAGGGGUGAUUGGCGAACCCAAUGCUUACUCUCCCCUUCCUCCCCACCGCUUCGUCCUGGAGGUUGAAGCACCGCUAGAGAUGGGAGCAGCGGUAUUAGGAUUUGGGAGAGAAAGAGAGGAAAAGAAGAUGGAAGGAUGACAAGUGGGACCCUCGGCCAAAUCAUCAAAUUAUCUACGUUUAACAAUUUUCAAAUGCAUGAUUAACAUUUUUAAUAUAUUUGUUUUUUACGCCUACUUGUUUCCACAGACCUUGUACAUUUGGUUAUACAUCAUAAACAUGUUAUGUAUAUAUUUUAACAAAAAUCAAUACAUGAUUAAUAUUUUUGCAAACAUAUAUUUUAAUAUCCACUUUUUUUCAUGCACGUUGUACAUUUUCCGUAUACAUUAGAAUGUUUUUGUAUAUAUGUUUAACAUGUUUCAAAUGCAUGACUAACAUUUUUAAUUUUUGACAUAAAGUGAUAUUUCUAUCAUAUAUAUUUAGAAUAUUUCCAAAUAUAACUAAAAGCAAAAAAAGAAAUUAGAAAACAAAAGCAAAAUGCGAAAAACUGAAAGAAAACGAGUGCUUAAUGCCGCACAUGCAGGGUCGGCCCUGUAACGCAGGUUAGAGAGGUUCCCGCGCCCACACGACUGCACAUAUGGACCGGGCCAUCGCGUGUGACACGAGCGCUCAACAGCGGGAAGCUCGUUCGGUUUGGGUCUGGUCGAAAACAAAAAUGCUCGGUGGCUUUGGGUCUGGUCAACCGUUUUGAACUAAAAAAAUAUGUAUCAGAAAAACCAAACAAAUAGCCAAAUGCGGAAAAGAUUUGAAUUCAAAUAAUUCCAUGCAUUUUGAAAAAAUGCAAAAAAACUCAUGAUUUUGAAAAGGCACUAAAUUUUAAAAAGUUCAAGAUUUUGCUAAAAAAAGUCAUUGAUUUUGAAAAAAAGUAAAUUGAUUUUACAAAUAAUCAUAAACUUUGAAAAAACCCCAUGAAUUUUAAAAAAGUUCAUCAAUUUUUAUAAAAGAUAGCAAAAUUAAAACAAUCAGUGGAUUUUAGAAAAUCAUCAAUUUCAGAAAACAAUUCACUAGUUUUAAAAAAGUCCACCGGAUUUUAAAAAAAGGUUCAUGUAUUUGAAAAUAAUUCAUCAAUUUUGAGAAAAAAAGUUCAUGAAUUGAAAAGGUUCAUCAAUUUGAAAAAAAACAUGAAAUUGAAAAGGGUUCACCGAUUUUCAGAAACAAUCAUAAAAAUGAAAAGGUUUAUGAAUUUGAAGAAAGUUUGCGAAUUAAGUGAAAUAAAGCAAAAAAGAAAGGAAAACGAGAAAACAUAGAAAAAAGGCCAAAAAUAGCAAAACACGAGAAAGAAAAACCAUGGGGCGUGAUGUUUUUUUUACUUUACAUUUACCUCAAGAUGAAAGAAAGAGGUACAUGGGAACAACAACCAUGUUGGUGCAAUGGUUAACACCACCGUGUCGGAGCAAGGAGUGCUGAGUUUGAAUCCUCUCCAUCUCACACUUUUUUGAACCUUAGAAAGAAAGGAAAAUGGGGAAAUGAACUGAACCCAGGGCGGUGGGGGUGUGUGCGCCAACUAUCACAAAGCACUAUAGUGGAUGCUGAAGGCACCAUAUUGGAAUUGUUGAGUGCUCCUGCCGUCUCGCGUGAACCACUUCUAUGUAUCGUUGUAAGCAACUGUGUGAGCUUGCUCACCUACGAUGACCCCUUCGUGGGCCUGCCCGGUGAGGAGAGCGACACCCUCCCAGUCCCGAGCCACGUGUGGGGCAUGUGACAUGUACAUCUCGCACUUUUUUGAACCUUAGAAAGAAGGGAAAAAGGGAAAAUGUGUCGAGCCUAGGACGACAGGGGUGUGUGCGCAAGUAGUAAAAAGCACUAUGACGGGAAGCUGAAGACGCCGUAUAGGAAUUGUCGAGUGCUCCUGCCGUCUCGCGUGAACCACUACUAUCUAUCGUUAUAAGUGACUAUGUGAGCUCGCUCGCGUACAGCGACCCCUUCGUGGACAUCUCGCUACUUGAACCUUAGAAGAAGGAAAAACAAGGGAAAAUGGGUCGAGCCCAGGACGGAUUGGGGUUUGUGCGCCAAGUAGCAAAAAGCACUAUGAUGGGCGCUGAAGGCGCCAUACAAAAAUUACCGAGUGCUCAUGUCGUCUCGCGUGAACCACUACUAUGUACCAUUAUAAGCAACUACGUGAGCUCGCUCGCCUAUAGUGACCCCUUCAUGAGCCUGCCCAGUGAGGAGGGCGACACCCUCCCAGUCCCGACGAGCCACGUGCAGGGCAUGUGACAUGGAUGUCUUUUUAUUUCUUUCUUUUCACAAAUUAAUUUUCGUUUUUUCUUCCAUGACCGGUCUAAAAAAUAAAAUAAAAUGUGUUUAUACUUCUAGUUAUUGAUAAAGUUCGUGAAAAUUAAAAAAACUGUUUCCGGGAAUAAAAUUAUCCCUGUAAUUUAAAUUUGUUCAUAAAUCUACAAAAAUGUGUUUGAUUCCUAAAACUGUUCAUGAAUACGGAAUGUCCAUGAAGUAGAAAAUAUAUUCAUGAUUUGACAAUUUUUUCACUAAUUCAUUAAUUUUUCAUGAAUAUAAAAAAUGGUUGUGAUUCAAAGAAAAUGUUCGUGAAUUCAAAAACUGUCCACGAAUUGAAAAACGGUCCACUGAUUCGAACAAAUGCCCGCGAAUUCAUUAAGAUGUUCAUGGUUUUUAAAAAUAUUCACAGAUUUUCAAAAGAUAAUCGAAUUUGAUUUUUUAGAAAUUAUCACUAAUUAGUAAGAAAGAAAACGGAAACAAAAAAAAAAUAGAAAGAAAACUGAAAUUUUUUCAUGAGAAAAUAGAAUAAGGGAAAAGAGAAGAACCUUCCGGAACCUUCCCAAAACCGAACGGAAGGUUCGCAAAAGCGUUCCUGUUUCUGGAUGUGAACAGUUCACAUCGGAGCGUGAGUUGGCGAGUUCUUGCUUAGUGCUCACUAAGGCGAUAGAUAUCAUUUCUGACAUAAUAUGAACAGCCUAUAUGGACGUCCUAUCAAUAGGCCCGUGACGCCUAUUUUAAGAACACGAUCUCGUCGGUCGUCAUGAGGUGGUGCAUGGCUGCUCUUUAGUGCUCCACCUCCACGCCGUGUAGGGCCCUGUCGGGAGGUCCUAUUCGGCGUUGUAGGUGUCUGAACCUGAAAAUGGCGCACCUCGUGAAGCAGAGCUCGGGUGCAAGAACCUCAACGUUCAACGACGAGGUUACGAGGGGCUGCUUGUCACCUCGCCUCGCUACACCUCACACCAGUAAGUCCCGUCUUUCAUCAAUGAUGGUUCAUUCGAGGAAAUUAACAAUAAUAACAGUUUGAUUGUCGACAUGUUCCCACUCCCAGGUUGAACUCUACUGUCCAUGCCAAGAUCGGAGACGUCAGACUGCACAUUGUUGGCAAGGAUGAAUACGAUGAUGAGCUUCCUGUCAAGGAGCCGAGGUUUUUGCAGAUUGAACAACCUAACCAUACACUUCCUAGACGAGUACAGGAGGAUUUGCCGUCCAAACUAGGCUUGGACAUCCGGGUGCUGCUACCCACCACAAAGGAAAAGAACCCUGCAACCUUCUCAAGAGAUAUAUCAUCGUUCAGCUCUGAGUCUUGAGGUGGCAGUGAAAUUGACCUCCCUUUGUAAGUAUGAAAAAACAGAAGUAUAAACAAGUAAAGGGUUCUGGAAAGUAACUUAUGUUCCAGGACAAGUUCUCUUAAGUUUAUAUAGCAUGGUGAUUAGAAAGAAAUUAGAACUUGAGCAUUGGCGGUGAAUUAUAUAUCUCAAAAGAGUGAUCAAACAGAGAUGAGAGAGAGAGAAGAUAAGGAGUAUACCCUGACUUGAUUAAUUGCCGUAGCAGGUUCGCAUUCCCUGGCCUCCUCUUUAUGUAUCUUAAACUCUCUCGCACCUUCUUCCCGGACACACACACACACACACACACACACACACACACAAGGGCACAAGGUCCUUCCUUGUGAACCUCAACACGAGGAGGUCCUUUUGUCGUCCCGCCUUCAUGUCUGUCUAAUGUUUAAGGAAUUCUAGUUCGUUCGUUACAGAAACUGUAGUACCGAAUACAUCAACUAGGUGUGCGCCAACGUUACUGCUACCAUGUUGUUUUGUCAUUGUCUAACUUCCCUCCUCGCAAGGCCGAGCAAAUAAUAAUACUAACUAACAAAAAGGCCCGUCCGUUGCAACGGGAGAGAAAAUACCACACACUCUUAAUUUAUAAAAAAUGUUCUAUAAUCUGAGAAUUUGUAGUUAUUUCUUAAAUACAUGAAGAGUUAAAAAGGUUGUUAAAAAGAUACAAGAUUUUUUAAUCAUAAAAAAGAUUUUUUUUGUCUGGAAAAGAACAUUUUUUAUGGUCUCAUGUUAACGCAGGUACUUGCGCCCCUAUUUUAUCACUAUUUUUUGCCAUACAUGUUGUAGGUAUUGGUCCCUGUUUCACCAUAUUUAUUUCUUAUUAAACUUGUCUUUUAUUUUAUUUUUUGUCAUGCAUGCCUCCUUUUUACUUUUUUCAUGCAUGUCCUCUUUUCCUUCUUCUUAUAUAUAGGAGAAUAGCGCAACAUCUCAUCUUUAUCGGAUCUCCUCUGCAAUUUCUCUUUUAUUUUUUUAUAGCGGACAUCCCAUCUUUGUUUGGUCCUUUUAUUUCUUGUAAUGCAUGUCCUUAUUUAUUGGUGUCUCUAACAAAUUUAUCUUUAAUUUGAUGUCCAAUCCUGAUUUUGCUGAGGUGUUCAUCCCCAGUCUGAAUCAGUACCCUAUGAAAAAAGACAGAUAAUGCAUUGUUGAUUAACAUUGCAGCCUAGAUAGUGUUUUUAAAAUUGUUAACAGGUAAAAUAACAUCACAUUUAGAUUCUACAUAUUUUUUAAUCAAAUUUCAUAUAUGAUAUGUUAAAUUUGGAGUUACGGUUUAAAAGAUAUGAGUAUUUUAAAAAACAUUUGAUAUGUACUGCGGAUAUAAUGUCAGAAACAUCAGGGGUUUUUCUACAAAAUAGCAUGAUGGACUAAGAAAAUCUAUUUCUUUUAUUAGUAGGUAUAGAUAUGAUUGUUGACAUGUUCCCAGGUCGGUCUUUAUUAUACAUGCCAUGAUCAAAGGCGUUGUAUAUUGUUGGGGAGGAUUGAUAUGAUGAUGAGCUUCCCGGUGAGGAGCUAAUGUUUUUGCCGGUUUAAGUACAUGAAGAUCUGCUCGUGCCUUGAUGAGGUCAUUCAACCAGAAAACCAGCAAAACGACGGUGAUCAUCGUCCAACUCCAAACCAGGCUUGAGCUUCCAAGUGUUGUUGUCUGCGAAAAAGCAAAAGGUGCCAUGUAAACAUGGGUACAUAAUCAAAUCCGAGAACUAGUAUAUAUAUGUGCAAUUGAGAAAGAUUUCACAUGUAUCUACGUAGGUAGUCGACCAGGGUAGGGUGCUUGAGCUUUGUAAAAAUAUCAGAUUAGAGAACUAACAUGACUUUUUGGAGAAGAGUCGCGUGUGUGUCAACAAAAUCUUAAUUCUUUAAAAAAGUUAUUAGAAAUCCAACAUUUUGAUCAGUCCACUUGGCUUCAGUGUCAACAUGAAAAAGAAAUCAUGAAAUAUUCUAUGUAAGAUUUUGGCUCUAGCCUUUCCAAGCGUGUGAUCACAUAGGAAACAUGAGAAACUCUAGCACACACAAAGUCAUCUCUCACAAAAUGUGCUUUAUGGGCCGAAAGAGAGGGACUAGAUGUAUGAUGUCUCCCAUAUGGUAGAUUUGUGUCCAUAUUCAUCUUUCUAUCAAUCAUAGAUUGAAUUUGAGUAUAUAUGUUCCACUCUACGAAUAAAUAAAUAAAUGAAUUUGAGUAUGUGUAUCAAGGCAGUAAGGAUAUACUCCCUCCGUCCGAAAAUACUUGUCAUCAAAAUGGAUAAAAAGAGAUGUAUCUAGAACUAAAAUACAUCUAAAUACAUCCUCUUUUAUCCAUUUUGAUGACAAGUAUUUCCGGAUGGAGGGAGUAUUAGUUAAAAAAAAACUAGUCUUAGACAGACCAAUGUUGUGACUAUGUGUGCAACAUCUUUUCUCGUUACCACGAAUGUUAAGAAUAUUGUCAUAUAUUACUACAUUUAUGAAAACAAAAAUUGCAAUCUCGAAUUGCUAAUGCGAAUAUAAAGUUCACAGUUUGUAAUAGACGUGCAUAGUGUGAUUUUAUAUAUGCAACCAAGUUGGAUAAUAUUUUGAUUUGAUUAUUAAACAAAACACUCACAUCUGACAAAACAAAUCGUCAACUUGUAUUAUGCAUGGGACAUGUCGACGCUAGCUUCAAAUUCCAAAUUAAGUUACAAGAUAGCACCAACUCGGCUAACUUUUAUCAGAGUAUACAAUGCAUAAUAGUGUACUUUGAACCGGGAAAUAGUGUGAGGAAUUGUGUGGUGAUGCAUAAGAGGAUCAGACCCCCUAUAUUGUGUACCGCACCUGAAUACAAUAUAUGUAUCUUUACUUAUUUUUAUGUAUUAAUUGUAGACCUCAAUGCAAAUCUCUCUAUACUGCCAAGGUCCAAAAGUUGAAGUGAACUGAGUGAGGCUUAGAUGGUUAGGUUUCAUGUAGUGGAACUAGCCCACCAAAGUUCAAGUCCUAAAUUUGGCACUGCUGAUCAUAUUUUUUGGAUUUAUUUCAUGCUUUCUCGCGAUGUACAUUCUGUGGGAGGAGAUGUUCCUGUUGAUUAUGAUUUACGAGACGCCUAUAAUGACUUCACCAAUCUCAAGAUGCCAUGCCGCCUUAGUAUCUCGGAGGUGCUCAUAGUGAUAGUAUGUGUGCACGCGCGCGUUCAUAGGGAUGAGUGUAUAUACGUGUAUGUGGGCAUAUGCGAUUGUACUGUGUUCAUUUUUUUUUACAAAAGUUGGCAUCCUUAGAUAUCGUGUCAUAUAUCUACAAGAUACGAUCGCUAAUGAUGAAUUUAUCUUCUACACUUUUUAUUCAUAAGUAAUCCCUGAAUUAAUACAAGAGGAUUUGCAUGGUUAAUUCUUCCAGUAAUUAUCAAAUAAUGUAGAUUCGUUUUUAUAUCCAAUUCGAUGGGCACUAGAAGUAGUGAACGUGUCUAGAUUCAUCCUCCCAUUAAAUUUCAUAUAUUUUUAGUAGGCAUUGAUUAUUAUUACUACUAUUCAAGAAAUAUAUUAUCUUCUCUAUUCUCUUUACUACCAAUGAUAUCCUAAAUAUCCAGAUAUUCUGUUUUAAUGGAAUAUUUUAGGAUAAGCACAAGCUUGAUGCCAUUGUAUCUAUAUAAAUCGAGUAUUUUCUAGGAUAAACCAUAGACAUACCAGCGAAAGGAGUAUUACAUAGUGUUCUCUACCACUCUCUGUGAACUUAGGCAAUGGCAAAUACUAGCAUCCUCCAAGUCUUCAUUGUUUUUAUCAUUGCGCAAGUCUGCUUACUCAUGAUGAUGGCAACACCGAUAGCGCAGGCAGCCGGCAGGCUUAUGGGAUACAAUCCAGUUUGCUGCCCUAGGGACAUCUACUGUUGUGGGUUUGGCGGUGUGAUGGCCAAUGGAAC
Molecule: long non-coding RNA, 22180 nt
Filed under: Triticum aestivum (bread wheat)
Lineage: Eukaryota; Viridiplantae; Streptophyta; Magnoliopsida; Poales; Poaceae
Description: long non-coding RNA (TAES_LNC011724)
Rfam family: MIR1120/MIR1122 microRNA precursor family (bases 20521-20655)
Source: RNAcentral